Molecule: ribosomal RNA, 759 nt
Filed under: Nocardioides sp. DNG25
Lineage: Bacteria; Bacillati; Actinomycetota; Actinomycetes; Propionibacteriales; Nocardioidaceae
Description: bacterial SSU rRNA
Rfam family: Bacterial small subunit ribosomal RNA
Source: RNAcentral
CAAGUCGAGCGGAAGGCCACUUCGGUGGUACUCGAGCGGCGAACGGGUGAGUAACACGUGAGUAAUCUGCCCUUGGCUUCGGGAUAGCCACCGGAAACGGUGAUUAAUACCGGAUAUGACCACUUCUCGCAUGGGAUGGUGGUGGAAAGUUUUUCGGCCAGGGAUGUGCUCGCGGCCUAUCAGCUUGAUGGUGAGGUAAUGGCUCACCAUGGCUUCGACGGGUAGCCGGCCUGAGAGGGUGACCGGUCACACUGGGACUGAGACACGGCCCAGACUCCUACGGGAGGCAGCAGUGGGGAAUAUUGGACAAUGGGCGGAAGCCUGAUCCAGCAACGCCGCGUGAGGGAUGACGGCCUUCGGGUUGUAAACCUCUUUCGCCUAUGACGAAGCGCAAGUGACGGUAAUAGGUAAAGAAGCACCGGCCAACUACGUGCCAGCAGCCGCGGUAAUACGUAGGGUGCGAGCGUUGUCCGGAAUUAUUGGGCGUAAAGGGCUCGUAGGCGGUUUGUCGCGUCGGGAGUGAAAACCAGGUGCUUAACACCUGGCUUGCUUUCGAUACGGGCAGACUAGAGGUAUGCAGGGGAGAACGGAAUUCCUGGUGUAGCGGUGAAAUGCGCAGAUAUCAGGAGGAACACCGGUGGCGAAGGCGGUUCUCUGGGCAUGACCUGACGCUGAGGAGCGAAAGUGUGGGGAGCGAACAGGAUUAGAUACCCUGGUAGUCCACACCGUAAACGUUGGGCGCUAGGUGUGGGGUCCAUU